Non-coding RNA from Podarcis lilfordi (Lilford's wall lizard), 6337 nucleotides. The record is from the annotation of a GenBank genome assembly. NCBI's taxonomy places the organism in Eukaryota, Metazoa, Chordata, Lepidosauria, Squamata, Lacertidae.
ACCAAACCUUCCUUGCAUGAGUCUGUUAAGGCUCCAAGCGACAGUUAAACUGAUUUUUAAAGGACCAGACAAAUACAUUACAAGACAAAUGUCACUAUGCAUUAUAGAAGACCCAUUCAAUUGAACAGGAUUUCUCCAUAACAUCUAAAGAAGGUGGGCCGGGGAAAACAGUUAACAGCACAACCCUUAACCGUUUUCUAGUAAGAAGUAAGUUCUAUUCAAUUCAAUGGGUUUACUUCCAGGUGAGUGGAAUGAUUGCAGGCAAAGCACAGAAUCUAAAAUUACCUAACUGCACCAAUGACUGUCAGGGGCUGUAAAUCUUAUUGCUGUUCCAGCAAGGAAGGAGGCAUGCGUAAUCAUUUCCAUACUGUUUUUUGGGUCAAAGUUGUUCUGCCCUCUUAGGUUGUUUUUUUCCUUGCAGGCAGACAAAUACAAGUAUACUUGACGCAUAUUUGGCAUUCAACAUUUGAUUUGAAAUAUUCUUUAUAAUUUGGUGUUUAUACCACUGGAUAGGCAACACAGGCAUUUUUAAAUGCCCCAAGCAUGGUGCCGUUUCAAACCACACCCGCCAUCAAAUAAUUAGAAUUUAUACCUUGGACAUUUUUAAUAGAGAUGUAGUUAAUGAUAAUUAUGCAGAGGAUCAACUGCUGACUGUGUGCAGCUACUGUAAUGUGACGGUGCCACAUUUCUCUAUAUUUUCCUCUGUUCUAUUGUAAAAACUUCAAUUGCUCCAUUAUUGCCAUAUUAUUUGGCACCAAGGAAGCCAUUUACAACAGAGCACCAUUAUAGCAGUGCUAAUUGAAAACCAGUUUGGACAUCUAUAAUUUAAAAUUGAUGACAACUGAUUUCCAAAGCUCUUUUUUUUUUAGUAUAUCAUAGUAUAUCAAAUGAUUUAGUAUAUCAAAUGAUUAAUCUAUUAAUAUAACUUUACAGAAUAAAAGUUGCAAUGUCUCAAAAUAGUGGUUUUAAAAAUACUUAAUGAAGCUAUGGAACCUACAAAUUAUUUUCUAUGAGCCAGCUUGAAUGGAGAUGAGACUGGAACUUACCAGAAAUAGAAGAAUCCCCUUUCUUCCACCUGUUCUAACUGAACAAAGAGCUCCAUGUAACUCAAAAGCUUUCUUAAAGAAACAAAGUUAUAUGAGCUAUAGCUCCACCCAUCACCAUAAGAUGGUUACUUUUUGUAUACAUUGGUGGCUUCUAACAUACCUCCCCACUUUAAAAAGAGUGGCAAACCACCAGUUUCUUCUAAACAUUUUAGUGUUGUUUCACACUACCCCAAUCUCCAAGCAGCGUGAGAUUCAAGGGGUUCCAGGCGCUUACCCAGAGUUCAUGUUUCCUUGGGAAUUGAGGCACAAUGGAGACUGUGAUGUCUUUAGGAUAUAUGGUUUAUUUACACAUAUAUACAACCUGAGCCUACGAUGGAGGGGUUCACAGCAUCAACACCCUAAAGAGUCUUGUUUCUCCCAUAGCCACAGCCCUGGAUUCAAGCUGAGAUCUACCAUUUCUCUGCCUUUCUGACUUUCCCGCUCGCUGCCUUGCUUCUCGGUCAUAUAACUCCUUCCCCUCUCUACUCUAAAUUCUGCCUUUAUCUGUUGAGCAAUGGGGGCUCCAGCCAUUUGCCAACUUGCACAAGCUGUUUGAUGCUUCAUUCUCUUAAGAGCCCAUCACCCAGGAGGCUAGCCUGACUUAAUUAGCUCUUAAUACUUGCUAAAUCCAGGGAUUAGAAGUGUCUAGCAUUCAUUUUAACACCCCAAGCCUUGAUUAAAUUCUAACACUUACUGGAUCCAGGAAUUUAGAAGUGUCUGGCACCCACAAACUCAUGACAGUAUGUUGGAUAUAAUAGGUUGCAUGGCAAUAAAACAGCUGUAGUUAACAUUAUGCCCUCCAGAUGUUGCUGAACUACAACUUCCAGCACACCUGGCCUCUGGCCAUGCUGGCUGGUUUUCAUGGAAGUUGGAGUCCAACAGCAUCUCAAGGGCACCACAUUGGCUGAUUUAAAUGUUGCCCCUUGAUCAUUUCCUAUCCAGACAGGCUCUGGGGAAAAAAAAACAUGUAUGGGAAAAAGAAAGUUUAGAGCCAUUUGCAGGGAAGAACAAACCGGAACAGCUAUCCCUGCAAAUGGCCUACCCCUAAAUUUAUGUUAACCUUCAGAUACAUGUACUUGCACAUCUAAUGCAGUUUAUUUCUUCACUAGUCUAGAAUUCAAGGAGUAGAUACGGAACCAGGAGGAAUUGCUAUAGGAGUGAAAGGAACCUGCCUUCAUUUAAAACCAUGCCAGGUAUUCAUAUAUCAUAUUGUUGGACUAAUUUUUUUCUUACAAAAAAGUAUUAAAUGUUGAUAGGGUGAUACAAACUCUGGUUGGAGGGCGGCACCUUUUCUGCCCGUAAAUUCCUCAUAUUCAUAGGAACAAAGUUGUUUUUCCCCCUUACCAGUUCAUUAGCACCAUGCAUCAAAACUCUGGGACUCAAAGGUACAUUGGGGGUGGAAUUUUAUUUUGAGAGCUAUCAGCUCUUUGGAGACUCCUGUUCAAAAGUAUUUUGAUAUAAUGUUUAGGCUGUUUGUGGCUUCAGAUCUGUUCAUGAUGAAAUUCCAGGUAAUGUUUCAUAGGCUUGGCUUCCGGCCUCUAUUAGUUCUAAAAAAUAUUGACAUUUGAUCCUUUAAAUAGGUGAUAUGAGACGUCUGCUUUCAGUGUUUUAAGACAGCAUCUAUGAAUGUUUCUCAUUUUACAUCAGAACUUGGGAAAAUAUAGUAGAGACUUCCUACUAGAUAGUCUGGCUGCAGCAAAACCUAUUUUAUUAGGCUGUGUACGCAUUACCAGCUUACUACUGAUUUACUCCAGUGUGUUUCCACUGCUGAUGUUUAGAGGUGGCGCUGUGGGUUAAACCACAGAGCCUAGGAUUUGCCGAUCAGAAGGUCAGCGGUUUGAAUCCCUGUGACGGAUGAGCGCCCGUUGCUCGGUCCCUGCUCCUGUCAACCUAGCAGUUCAAAAGCACGGCGUUUUAAAAUGCCUUAUGAAAAUGACUGUGUCCAGCUUACUUGGACUGCUGCUAACUCUUGGACAAGAGAUAUUCAUGUCGUGCCUGUUUAACGUGGCAACUAAUUGUCACAUACAGUAUUCUAGUAGUGAAUCAGUGAUAUAGCCAAAACAGGACUACUGAGAAGCAAGAGGCAGGUAUCAGCAGAAUCAGGGGGUGGGGGGAGAGUUAGGAGAAAAAACUUCAGUGGGCCACCUGCAUUCCCUAAAUGGAACAACCUGGACUGAGCAUGCUUUGUGGUCACAGAACACAGGCUGAAGGCGGGGCAGAAAACUAGGGAGGAGGAAGGCGAAUGGAAUAGAGUAUCCUGAAAAGAGGCAAAGUUGGUGGAACCCUGAACAGGAGCACUCCACUUGCUAAGUUUACACAAAGCAGCUUCUACCUCAGGUUAAAAAAAAGGGGGGGGGAGUCCCUUUAUUAUUAACUAAAGAAAUGCCCAAAAGGAACUAGAGCGAAGCUUUCCAAACUUUUCAAGUUGGUGACACGCUUUUUGGACAUGGAUCAUUUCGCGACACAGUAAGUCAGUUUUGCAUCAUUUCGCGACACAGUAAUUCAGUUUUACUAGCAAACCGGAGGUUAAACUAACCCUUUCCAGUCCCAGGAGGAGCGCAGGGGGCGUUUUGUGUGACACACCUACUACACAUUGUAGCUGACACACUAAUGUGUCGUGACACAUAGUUUGGAAAGCUCUGAACUAGAGGCUAAACUGGCUUGUUCAUGUACCUUCGUAGUUCUGGAGAAUGGAAGACUGCCGGGGCUCAAGUUGACUUAGGGCUGCUACAUCAGCCACUAUAAUUUAUGAGCACGGUAAUAUCGAUUUUACAAUAUAUGAAAGCAGAACAUUGAUCUUCUUGCCUUCUCCCCCUUCUUGCCAUCUUCCUAUCCAUAUUUCUCCCCCCCUGGAAGUGCAUUGAUUUCUGAGCUCAGUGGUUGAGCCGUUGAAUGAAUCACAGAUUUACAGUGCUGAGCUCUGCUGUGCAAUUGAACACAGGGAAGGAAGUCCAAUCAGGGUCUAAUCAGAGAUCUACUCUCCAAAAAAGCCUCCUGACUGCAUCACAAUUAGAUUAAUCAGAGCUUGAGAAUAUUUUCUGACCUCUGCAGCUGAAGCAGAUGCAACACAGCGAAGGCUUUUUGCUUAGAAAAUGAAGACCCACUGAGUUGCAACUGAGGUGAAGGGAUAAAUCACCCAUUUUAGUCACCAUUCAGCACAGAACAUUAUUAUGCUUACCUUCUGAUUAGGGUGGAGCUCUACCUGGGAACACAAUGGCACUAAAAUACAACAGUUCUAUGUUGAAUUUUUCCUGAGAAUUCAAUUAUUAUUCUUUUAAAAAAUAAAACCUGGAUUAGUGUUGUUUCUUUUUUAUAUAUGCGUGAAUUUCCACUUGUGAUGGCCCAUGUUCUGUUGAAUAGCUAGAAUCAUUAAAGUUGGCACCAGAAUGUUUUAUGUUGCUUUUCCUCCAGAAGGCCUAAUCACUCGCUCACUCUUGAGAACAAAACAUUAAAUUGGACUGCCAGUGUUGCCAGAAUCCCAAAAGAUGGGCACUUAAUUUGCAUCUAAUUUAACUAUUAUUUGCAUACUUUGAUGUCAGAAUGGCAUUUGCUCAAACAAUUAUUGCUGCCUGGAUAUAAUCCCAAUUUUUCACAUACAAACCCUGUCUACAGUGCCUUCUGUCCUCUCCCUCUGAAGGGAAUAGGCGGGAGUCUGUACUACGUUAUCAGAUGCCAGCGACCAUACACCGUCUCUGCCCUAGCACCCUGAACUUUUAUGGUGGGCUUUUAAUGGUGAACUUCUUUUGGGAGCUAAUCUUUACUCCAAAGCAGUGUGUAAAUGUAGGGUGGAGUCUUUGUGCAUCUGAAGGGCAUCUGAUCCAGUGGAUGGCUCCGCAAAUAGUAGAGGGGAGGUUAUUUUUACCGAUUCUCUGCUCCCCUGCAGCUCCCCCAAACCCAAACAUUGGCUCCAGAGAGUUGGGGCAUCCUCCACUGUUGUAUCUCCAACAUUAGGAAGUUGAUUAAAGAUAAAAAAGGUAAAGGUAAAGGACACCUGACAGUUAAGUCCAGUCGCAGACAACUCUGGGGUUGCGGCGCUCAUCUCACUUUACAGGCCGAGGGAGCUGGCGUUUGUCCGCACACAGUUUUUCUUGGUCAUGUGGCCAGCAUGACUAAGCCGCUUCUGGCGAAGCCAGAGCAUCACACGGAAACGCCAUUUACCUUCCCGCCGGAGUGGUACCUAUUUAUCUACUCGCACUUUUUGGCAUGCUUUCGAACUGCUAGGUUGGCAGUAGCUGGGACCGAGCAAUGGGAGCUCACCCCGUCGCAGGGAUUCGACUCGCCAACCUUCUGACUGGCAAGCCCAAGAGGCUCAGUGGUUUAGACCACAGCGCCACCCGUGUCCCUGAUUAAAGAUACCGAGCCUCAAAGCAAGGCCUAUUAUGAGUACCUUAGUGUGAAGGUAGGUUCAAAGCUAAGGUCUCAUUGUCUGGAACUCCUUUUAACAAGUCCUUUGAAGAAGGUCGAGCCCAAGCCAUUCUGCUGCCUGAGGUGGAGCUACCAAAAUCAGCUGCCUGAGUUGGUCACCUCAUUCUGCCUACUGGCAGGGCCAGCCCAAGGCAGGUCCAAAAUGCAUCUUCCUAGGAAAAGCAGCUGCAGUUUAAAAGCUCAGAAUACGAACCAGCUGAUAGUAAAGAGCAUUCUCUGUAUUCUAGGAACACCCAUUACUCAUUACAAAUAGGAAACCGUUAAAAGCUCAGGGAGGAUGAGGAUUAAUACAGAUCUGGUUUUGUCCUCCCAUAGCUUCACUCCUCAGGACUGGAAAGCUACUUAUCGGCUCCAAACAGAAAUCAACACCCUUGCGAGGCUUGGCAGGAAGUUCGCUUUUAAAAACCAUUUACAGUAGGAGAUUUCCCUUUGUGUGGAAACUGCUAGAGGAUUCGAGGGAGAGGAAUGCAGCUAGGCUCAGAUGCAGAAUUGUUUGUGCUCAGUGGAUAGGAAAAGUGAAUGAGUGCGGAUGGGUCGGGGGAGGACUGUAAGCCAGAGAGUCUGUAAGAAGAAAGAGCUGUUUGGCAUCUGGCUUCCUGAAGCUCGGCUGCCUCUCUCUCUCUCUCUCGCCUUGUCUGCCAUAUCAAAUACGGUAGCUUUUUGAAUGCAACGUUCAGUGAACCAAAAUACAUUUCAAGAUCUUAUGUGGGGGAGCCUUGCCCCGAAUUGAAGUAAGUGGUGGCACUCCCAUUAAUUUCAAAGCAAGGUAGAAGGAAGGGGAAGAGGCUUUUUGUCAUCGUCCCCCACAUUUUUGCCUUUGUUUCCCC